ACAAAACCGCACUUUUGCCGUGAGCUAAGWCGAGGGGGAGGAGGAGGCAGCGCAGCCGAAGGGAAAGGCAGCAUUACGUAACYCAUAAUUUCCUCUUCCUCAAACUCGAGGGCCUUUAAAGAACAACGCGCAGAGYGGAGCAGGGAGCAGGUACAGGUUUAACGGCUACGGCUGUCACCGAGAAACCACUGCAACCCUGCAAGGACACCAGCGGCUGUAGCCUGCUUCUGUCAGGACACCAACACUGUUACUCCAACAGUAUGAAAAUAUUUGAAACCAUCAGCAACAUUCGCUUGACCUCUACCUGGUCUUUCUGCUGGCUCCCAGCACAAUAGUGCUGUAUUCCAGUCAUUAUAUGCAUGGGAAUUAAACUAAGUAGUGGGUGGAAAAGUGAAUUAGAUUUAGGGAGUGAAACAAUGCAUGGCGGUUGAGCUGUAGAUAUUGCRCGUAACCUUUCCCAUGCUGUUCUACUCAGUCGCUUCUAAUGCCUUUCAGAGGGCAGCAUUAAGUGACAGCACUAGCAUCUGCUUUCCUUUUUAUAAACUGAAUAAUAUGAUCGUUUUAUAAUCU
RNAcentral lists this long non-coding RNA (570 nucleotides) under Dromaius novaehollandiae (emu). Its description in RNAcentral is "lncRNA (ENSDNVG00000003812.1)". Lineage: Eukaryota; Metazoa; Chordata; Aves; Casuariiformes; Dromaiidae. The record is from RNAcentral.